GAUGAACGCUAGCGACAGGCUUAACACAUGCAAGUCGAGGGGCAGCACAGGUAGCAAUACCGGGUGGCGACCGGCGCACGGGUGAGUAACGCGUAUGCAACUUACCUAUCAGAGGGGGAUAACCCGGCGAAAGUCGGACUAAUACCGCAUGAAGCAGGGGCCCCGCAUGGGGAUAUUUGCUAAAGAUUCAUUGCUGAUAGAUAGGCAUGCGUUCCAUUAGGCAGUUGGCGGGGUAACGGCCCACCAAACCGACGAUGGAUAGGGGUUCUGAGAGGAAGGUCCCCCACAUUGGUACUGAGACACGGACCAAACUCCUACGGGAGGCAGCAGUGAGGAAUAUUGGUCAAUGGCCGAGAGGCUGAACCAGCCAAGUCGCGUGAGGGAUGAAGGUUCUAUGGAUCGUAAACCUCUUUUAUAAGGGAAUAAAGUGCGGGACGUGUCCCGUUUUGUAUGUACCUUAUGAAUAAGGAUCGGCUAACUCCGUGCCAGCAGCCGCGGUAAUACGGAGGAUCCGAGCGUUAUCCGGAUUUAUUGGGUUUAAAGGGUGCGUAGGCGGCCUUUUAAGUCAGCGGUGAAAGUCUGUGGCUCAACCAUAGAAUUGCCGUUGAAACUGGGGGGCUUGAGUAUGUUUGAGGCAGGCGGAAUGCGUGGUGUAGCGGUGAAAUGCAUAGAUAUCACGCAGAACCCCGAUUGCGAAGGCAGCCUGCCAAGCCAUGACUGACGCUGAUGCACGAAAGCGUGGGGAUCAAACAGGAUUAGAUACCCUGGUAGUCCACGCAGUAAACGAUGAUCACUAGCUGUUUGCGAUACACAGUAAGCGGCACAGCGAAAGCGUUAAGUGAUCCACCUGGGGAGUACGCCGGCAACGGUGAAACUCAAAGGAAUUGACGGGGGCCCGCACAAGCGGAGGAACAUGUGGUUUAAUUCGAUGAUACGCGAGGAACCUUACCCGGGUUUGAACGCAUUCGGACCGAGGUGGAAACACCUUUUCUAGCAAUAGCCGUUUGCGAGGUGCUGCAUGGUUGUCGUCAGCUCGUGCCGUGAGGUGUCGGCUUAAGUGCCAUAACGAGCGCAACCCUUGCCACUAGUUACUAACAGGUGAUGCUGAGGACUCUGGUGGGACUGCCAGCGUAAGCUGCGAGGAAGGCGGGGAUGACGUCAAAUCAGCACGGCCCUUACAUCCGGGGCGACACACGUGUUACAAUGGCGUGGACAAAGGGAGGCCACCUGGCGACAGGGAGCGAAUCCCCAAACCACGUCUCAGUUCGGAUCGGAGUCUGCAACCCGACUCCGUGAAGCUGGAUUCGCUAGUAAUCGCGCAUCAGCCAUGGCGCGGUGAAUACGUUCCCGGGCCUUGUACACACCGCCCGUCAAGCCAUGGGAGCCGGGGGUACCUGAAGUCCGUAACCGCGAGGAUCGGCCUAGGGUAAAACUGGUGACUGGGGCUAAGUC
This 1452-nucleotide ribosomal RNA is filed under the name uncultured organism. Its description in RNAcentral is "16S ribosomal RNA". It matches the Rfam family "Bacterial small subunit ribosomal RNA". The record is from RNAcentral.